RNAcentral lists this ribosomal RNA (253 nucleotides) under uncultured bacterium. RNAcentral describes it as "partial 16S ribosomal RNA". It matches the Rfam family "Bacterial small subunit ribosomal RNA", at positions 524 to 776 of the family's 1533-position model. The record is from RNAcentral.
UACAGCGGGGGCAAGCGUUGUUCGGAAUUACUGGGCGUAAAGGGCGCGUAGGCGGCCUGCUAAGUCGAACGUGAAAUCCCUGGGCUCAACCCAGGAACUGCGUCCGAUACUGGUUGGCUUGAAUCCGGGAGAGGGACGUGGAAUUCCAGGUGUAGCGGUGAAAUGCGUAGAUAUCUGGAGGAACACCGGUGGCGAAGGCGACGUCCUGGACCGGCAUUGACGCUGAGGCGCGAAAGCCAGGGGAGCAAACGGG